Molecule: ribosomal RNA, 440 nt
Filed under: uncultured bacterium
Lineage: Bacteria
Description: partial 16S ribosomal RNA
Rfam family: Bacterial small subunit ribosomal RNA
Source: RNAcentral
CCUACGGGUGGCAGCAGUGGGGAAUAUUGCACAAUGGGGGAAACCCUGAUGCAGCGACGCCGCGUGAGUGAAGAAGGCUUUCGGAAUGUAAAGCUCUAUCAGCAGGGAAGAAAAUGACGGUACCUGACUAAGAAGCAACGGCUAACUACGUGCCAGCAGCCGCGGCAAUACGUAGGGGGCAAGCGUUAUCCGGAUUUACUGGGUGUAAAGGGAGCGUAGCGGGCGCGGCACGUCUGAAGUGAAAGGCCGGGGCUUAACCCCUGAACUGCUUGGGAAACUGCCAUGCUAGAGUGCUGGAGAGGUAAGUGGAAUUCCUAGUGUAGCGGUGAAAUGCUUAGAUAUUAGGCGGAACACCAGUUGCGAAGGCAGCUUACUGGACUGUAUCUGACGUUGAGGCUCGAAAGCGUGUGGAGCAAACAGGAUUAGAUACCCUGGUAGUC